Molecule: ribosomal RNA, 497 nt
Filed under: uncultured bacterium
Lineage: Bacteria
Description: partial 16S ribosomal RNA
Rfam family: Bacterial small subunit ribosomal RNA
Source: RNAcentral
GAUGAACGCUGGCGGCGUGCCUAAUACAUGCAAGUCGAGCGAACAGACGAGGAGCUUGCUCCUCUGACGUUAGCGGCGGACGGGUGAGUAACACGUGGAUAACCUACCUAUAAUACUGGGAUAACUUCGGGAAACCGGAGCUAAUACCGGAUAAUAUAUUGAACCGCAUGGUUCAAUAGUGAAAGACGGUUUUGCUGUCACUUAUAGAUGGAUCCGCGCCGCAUUAGCUAGUUGGUAAGGUAACGGCUUACCAAGGCAACGAUGGGUAGACGACCUGAGAGCGUGAUCGGCCACACUGGAACUGAGACACAGUCAAGACUACUACGGGAGGCAGCAGUAGGGAAUCGUCCGCAAUGGGCGAAAGCAUGACGGAACAACGCCGCGUGAGUGAUGAAGGUCUUAGGAUCGUAAAACUCUGUUAUUAGGGAAGAACAAAUGUGUAAGUAACUAUGAACGUCUUGACGGUACCUAAUCAGAAAGCCACGGCUAACUACGUG